GAGCGGCGAACGGGUGAGUAAUGCAUCGGAACGUGUCCCGUAGUGGGGGAUAACGCCGCGAAAGCGGCGCUAAUACCGCAUAUGCUUACGGAGGAAAGUGGGGGACUCGCAAGAGCCUCACGCUAUGGGAGCGGCCGAUGUCCGAUUAGCUUGUUGGUGGGGUAAUGGCCUACCAAGGCGACGAUCGGUAGCUGGUCUGAGAGGAUGAUCAGCCACACUGGGACUGAGACACGGCCCAGACUCCUACGGGAGGCAGCAGUGGGGAAUUUUGGACAAUGGGGGCAACCCUGAUCCAGCCAUGCCGCGUGCGGGAAGAAGGCCUUCGGGUUGUAAACCGCUUUUAGCUGGGAAGAAAAGGACGAGGCUAAUACCUUCGUUUUUUGACGGUACCGGCAGAAUAAGCACCGGCUAACUACGUGCCAGCAGCCGCGGUAAUACGUAGGGUGCGAGCGUUAAUCGGAAUUACUGGGCGUAAAGCGUGCGCAGGCGGUUCGUUGUGUCUGUGGUGAAAUCCCCGGGCUUAACCUGGGAAUGGCCAUGGAAACUGGCGAGCUUGAGUGUGGCAGAGGGGGGUGGAAUUCCGCGUGUAGCAGUGAAAUGCGUAGAGAUGCGGAGGAACACCGAUGGCGAAGGCAGCCCCCUGGGCUAACAC
RNAcentral lists this ribosomal RNA (652 nucleotides) under uncultured bacterium. RNAcentral's name for it is "bacterial SSU rRNA". It matches the Rfam family "Bacterial small subunit ribosomal RNA", at positions 93 to 740 of the family's 1533-position model. The record is from RNAcentral.